CCGGGAGCGGGCGCCAUGGUGAGAAGUGGUUGUGGGGCGCGGGCGACGCGACGGUGGGGGUUUCGACCUGGGUUGGGGCCGCAGACAGAGCCCGGGCCUGGGCCUGGGCCUGCGCCUGCCCUGGGAGCGGGUUCCGGCAGACGCUGAGGUUGCGUUGACGCUCGCGCCCCGGCUCCCGUUCCAGGUGCUGUUGCACGUGCUGUUUGAGCAUGCUGUCGGCUACGCGCUGCUGGCGCUGAAGGAAGUGGAGGAGAUCAGUCUGCUGCAGCCGCAGGUGGAGGAGUCCGUGCUCAACCUGGGCAAAUUCCACAACAUCGUUCGUCUGGUGGCCUUUUGUCCCUUUGCGUCAUCCCAGGUUGCCUUGGAAAAUGCCAACGCCGUGUCUGAAGGGGUUGUUCAUGAGGACCUCCGCCUGCUCUUGGAGACGCACCUGCCGUCCAAAAAGAAGAAAGUACUCUUGGGAGUUGGGGAUCCCAAGAUUGGUGCCGCGAUACAGGAGGAGUUAGGGUACAACUGCCAGACUGGAGGCGUCAUAGCUGAGAUCCUGCGAGGAGUUCGUCUGCACUUCCACAAUCUGGUGAAGGGUCUGACCGAUCUGUCAGCUUGUAAAGCACAGCUGGGGCUGGGACACAGCUAUUCCCGUGCCAAAGUUAAGUUUAAUGUGAACCGUGUGGACAAUAUGAUCAUCCAGUCCAUUAGCCUCCUGGACCAGCUGGAUAAGGACAUCAAUACCUUCUCUAUGCGUGUCAGGGAGUGGUACGGGUAUCACUUUCCGGAGCUGGUGAAGAUCAUCAACGACAAUGCCACAUACUGCCGUCUCGCCCAGUUUAUUGGAAACCGAAGGGAACUGAAUGAGGACAAGCUGGAGAAGCUGGAGGAGCUAACAAUGGAUGGGGCCAAGGCUAAGGCUAUUCUGGAUGCCUCACGGUCCUCCAUGG
RNAcentral lists this small RNA (938 nucleotides) under Pongo abelii (Sumatran orangutan). Its description in RNAcentral is "processed transcript". The stretch from base 120 to 185 matches the Rfam family "mir-1292 microRNA precursor family". Lineage: Eukaryota; Metazoa; Chordata; Mammalia; Primates; Hominidae. The record is from RNAcentral.